UCCCGAUUGGCUCGGGCAGUCUUGUUUGAAAAAUACAACAAACAACAAGGGUUGCGCUCGUUGCGGGACUUAACCCAACAUCUCACGACACGAGCUGACGACGGCCAUGCAACACCUGUCACUAGAUUCCCGAAGGCACUCCAACAUUUCUGCCGGAUUCCUAGGAUGUCAAGCCUUGGUAAGGUUCUUCGCGUAGCAUCGAAUUAAACCACAUGCUCCACUGCUUGUGCGGGUCCCCGUCAAUUCCUUUGAGUUUUAGCCUUGCGGCCGUACUCCCCAGGCGGGAUGCUUAACGCGUUAGCUUCACAACACAGAGGGUCGAUACUCCAUACUAUUAGCAUCCAUCGUUUACGGCGUGGACUAC
RNAcentral lists this unclassified non-coding RNA (364 nucleotides) under uncultured bacterium. RNAcentral's name for it is "contains 16S-23S intergenic spacer region". The record is from RNAcentral.